This 389-nucleotide ribosomal RNA is filed under the name uncultured Desulfarculaceae bacterium. RNAcentral's name for it is "bacterial SSU rRNA". It matches the Rfam family "Bacterial small subunit ribosomal RNA", at positions 997 to 1382 of the family's 1533-position model. The record is from RNAcentral. Lineage: Bacteria; Pseudomonadati; Thermodesulfobacteriota; Desulfarculia; Desulfarculales; Desulfarculaceae.
GCCCUGGAAACAGGGUUUAUCCGAUUCGUCGGAACAGAGUGACAGGUGCUGCAUGGCUGUCGUCAGCUCGUGUCGUGAGAUGUUGGGUUAAGUCCCGCAACGAGCGCAACCCUUGUCUCUAGUUGCCAGUAUUAAGUUAGGGACUCUAGAGAGACUGCCUCGGUUAACGGGGAGGAAGGUGGGAUGACGUCAAGUCCUCAUGGCCUUUAUACCCAGGGCUACACACGUGCUACAAUGGGCUGCACAAAGGGUCGCUAGCUCGCGAGAGUGCGCUAAUCCCAAAAAGCAGUUCUCAGUUCGGAUUGGAGUCUGCAACUCGACUCCAUGAAGUUGGAAUCGCUAGUAAUCGUGGAUCAGCACGCCACCGGUGAACUACGCUCCCGGGCCUU